GCAAGAAAAUGUGGAGCAGUUCAAUAACUUGUGUCGUCGCCAGACUUGUGUGUGUGUGAAGGAAGUGGGGGGUGCAUGCAUGUGGGAAUGCGUGUGCUUGUUUAUCUGUGUAAAAGCACGGAAGGAACGGGAGGUAGGGAGGGCGAGAGAGGGGGAGAGGGAGAGAUUUGUAAGGCACUUGUAUUUGCAAACUACUGGCUGAGUUCCCACUAGAGGCAGAGAGAUCACGCUGAAAGACUGCGUGUCAGGAGUAUGUAUCCGUGUGUGUGUGUGUGUGUGUGUGUGUGUGUGUGUGUGUGUGUGUGUGUGUGUGUGUGUGUCUGGAAGAGAGACAGGCAGACAGUGAGCGAGAGGAACCCGUUCAACUCAUUUCAGCAGUGAAUUCUCAGCCAGUCUAAAUGAGGUUUCUCCUCGCAUAUGGAAGCUUUUUGCUCUCGUGUUUGAUUUUUCCCUCCUUCCGUCCAGUCACCACAGUUUCACGCUGCCGCUGAACUUUUGGUCGCACUUGACGCUGAACGUGACAGCAGCACAGGCUCAGCGCAGACACACGAGUCUUCUUGGUAGUUCAGUGAAAAUGAAGACGAUGACAAUGGCGCUCAUCGUGUCUGCGAGGCUAUUAAAGGAAACCACAACCUUUGCAUCACCGCCUCUCCUCGCUCGCUCCUGCUGGCUUCUCGUCACCAUCACUCGAGGUUGCACGCCAACAAGGGUGGUAACGUGCUUUGGCAUGGAGGCGCUCCACACGGGCCAAGAGAUACACAGCAGCACACACUGACAGACACCAAGGCUUGUGAAACAGCACAGCUUGUCGUUUUUGUGGAAAAUUACCUUCAAAGUUAAUAUUUCUCACCUUUAUAACCACAUAACACAGAAAAGUCUGGCACACCUGAUGUUAGAGCAGUUUAGGGUGUCUGUGUGAGACAAAUAUGGGUUUUUCAAAAGCACUUUACUACCCAACAGGUAAUAAUUUAACAUGUACUUCAUGUAUCAACAAAGUAACUAUCAAGCUGCUCAGUAUUUGAAUGCAGUUAGUUUAAUUCAAUGCUCUUCGACAGACACCUUCCCCUAAACUGCUGUAUGAUCGCAGCAAUUUAUGUAACAUCAGAUUAAAAAAAGACAACUGACACUCGUGACCCGAGGCCACAAAAUGACAGCUUCCCCAAAAAAGCUGUGAAAAAAAAAAAUCAGUUUUUUAAAAACUAAUCAUAUUUAAUUAUUUGGGGAUUUUAACCCUUUAAAGGCCAGUAUGUUUACAUACACACCCGUACAGCUGCUGAUUUUUAUUAUUAAAACUAAAAUAAUUUCAAUAAAAUACAUUUCAAGUAGUAUAUGAUUCAAUGUUUAUUAGGCCUGAGAUGGUUCACGGCAGCAAGAUUGAUUUUCAUAUAUUAUUAGAAUAUUAGCUACCAAUAUAUAGCUACUACCAAACAUACACUGUCUGAUGAGCUAAUGAUAUCAUGCCAGGUAAACAAUGUUUCCUAGCUUUGGGUAGUCCCCAGAAGAUCUGUUAUAAAUGAUUUUACCUACUCAGGCUGUUUUUAUGUAACAGCUAGCAACCACAGGCUAAUAAAAUACAGUACAGUAGCUAACUUCAUGGCUGUCGUUUCUGCAAUGCUAGCAUACAGUUUACGUUUAAAAGUAAGCAAUGCUAAUAAACUCAAUGUUUAUUGAUAGAGUAGAGUUAACCAAAGAAACAGCCUGCACACAAGCUAAUUUUGCUGACACAUUGCAACUCGUUUCUAAACUUUCAAUCUUUGCUGACUAUUAGCAAAACAAACUUGGCAAAACAUCUGAAAGGCUGACACCCUGUAACAUUAACAGUCAAAAAAGCUACAUUUACUCAGAUAUAUUCAGCUGCUCCCUUAUUCAGUUGAAGUCAGUGUUAAUUCACAAUUAUUCAUGUCUAAAAAUGUUAUUCUUCUCUUCAAGUCCAAGACUGAAACAGAGAAAAAGCUACGGAGAACCAGACAGAAACAGCGAGCGAGCUGUGGCUCAAUAGAUCUGGACAGACAAGAGUUGCUCUAAUCUAUAUUUUGAAAAUUGUCUCUUGAGUUUGUCAUUUCCCCGUCUGUGAUAAUAAAAAUGUCAUCACGUA
Long non-coding RNA from Oreochromis niloticus (Nile tilapia), 2095 nucleotides. RefSeq lists it as uncharacterized. The transcript is spliced from 2 exons. The record is from RefSeq and is a predicted model, not a curated record. NCBI's taxonomy places the organism in Eukaryota, Metazoa, Chordata, Actinopteri, Cichliformes, Cichlidae.